RNAcentral lists this long non-coding RNA (207 nucleotides) under Coturnix japonica (Japanese quail). RNAcentral describes it as "lncRNA (ENSCJPG00005018612.1)". The record is from RNAcentral. Lineage: Eukaryota; Metazoa; Chordata; Aves; Galliformes; Phasianidae.
ACAUUGAUUUCAACUUUUAAGAACUGUGAACUUUCUGCUCUUUUGUAAGCAACAGAGAGGGCAGUCACCUUGUGGACACUCACAGGAGUUACAGAGGAGAAUUACAGUGGAGAUGCCACGAAACACUGCUGUUGAAGGAGAAGUAAUAGUAAAAAUAUAUGUGGAUGCAACCUAAAGAAAGCAGACUUUUGGACUGCUUCCAUUCAG